UGAUUUUAAAUCACAUUUUCAGAUUUGACUUAAUGUGUAGUGUCCAUCUCUAUUCAGUCCCUUAGUAGAUCAAGAAUGUCAUGCUAUAGAAUGUACCUCUUUUUUAUUGGAGAAGAUGAUUCUGUUUCCAUUUUGAUAUCAGGUUCAUAAGCAGGGUGUUGCACUUGGAAGAUCUGUUGACUUGACAAAGUUUGAUGGUUAUGACCAAUAGAUCGAGGAGUUAGAUCAGCUAUUUGAAUUCAAAGGAGAAUUGAUGGCUCCAAAUAAAAAUUGGAUAAUUGUAUUUACUGAUAAUUAGGAUGAUAUGAUGCUUGUUGGAGAUGACCCUUGGCAGGAAUUUUGUGCUAUGGUCCGUCAAAUUUUUAUAUACACAAAAGAGGAGGUCUAGAAGAUGGAUUCAAGUACCUUGAACCCAAAAAAUGAAGAUUGUCCUGAUAUGAAAGAGAAUGUCAAGGAAACAAAAGGCAGUCAAUCUGCAUCAUCAUCUAAUUCAAAAAACUCAUAGGCUUAUCCUGCAAUGAUCUUGAAGCACAAACAAAGUGAUUGUUUGUGCUUUAUCUAAGUGAUUGUUUGAACAGUUUUAUAGCAUGCAUCUUGACAAUUAAUAU
Molecule: long non-coding RNA, 608 nt
Organism: Zingiber officinale
Lineage: Eukaryota; Viridiplantae; Streptophyta; Magnoliopsida; Zingiberales; Zingiberaceae
Exons: 3
Source: RefSeq, a predicted model, not a curated record